AAUAUAUUUUUAAACAAAUAUAAAUUGCUUUUUAUUUAAUAAAAAAAAAGCAAUAUGGUAUUAACAACAAGAAUGUCACAUAAAGUGAAUAGAAUUUCUUAUUAUUAUCAUAAUGUUUUUGUAAUAUUUUUGUUAAUGUUUACAUUAUUUAUAAUAUUAAUUAUGACAUAUCAUAUUUUUAAAUUUGGGAGUACACAAAAGCGUUCUGUAUAUAAUCCCAUUAUCCUUAAUGAUUUACAUUCAUUACCUGUACAAAUAAUAGAUGCAGAUUUUGCAAUGGCAGAUACCACAAAUAGUUCUUGCACAUACUUCAGUUGUUUUAAUGUUUAUCGUUGUGGCAGUCAAGGAAAUAAGCUUUUAGUAUAUGUUUAUCCACCAAAAUUAUAUGUAGAUUCAUUAGAAAGAUCUAUAACAAGUCAUAUAACAAAAGAGUUUUAUCAAAUUUUAAAUACAAUUAUUUCAAGUAAAUUUUACACACCAAAUCCAUAUGAAGCAUGUAUUUUCAUUCCUUCAAUUGAUACAUUAAAUCAAAAUAGAUUAAAAUUACAAGAAGUUUCACAAGCUCUGAAAUCAUUGCCAUUUUGGAAUAAUGGAGAAAAUCAUUUGAUAUUUAAUAUGAUACCUGGAACUGUACCUGAUUAUAACACAGUUAUUGAUGUACCUGUUGGAAAAGCAAUGAUUGCAGGUGCAGGAAUGUCUUCAUUAACAUAUAGAUCUGGUUUUGAUAUCAGUUUACCAGUAUAUAGUCCUCUUGUAAAUAGUCUUAAAUCAAAUUUUAAUAAUACAAGACCAUGGUUAAUCAUAUCAUCUCAAAUGAACAUUAAUUCUGCUUCUGAACAAGAUUUGUUAGAAAUUAAAUCUAUAUCACCAAAAGAUAUUUUUAUAUUAGGUACAUGUUUUCACUAUAAUUCUAUGAAUAACACAAUUCGAUGUGUAGGAGAAGAUGUUUAUAAAUAUCCUGAUGUGCUUCAAUCAGCAACAUUCUGUUUAGUAAUACGAGGUGCAAGACUUGGUCAAACUACACUUUUAGAAUGCAUGGCAGCUGGUUCUAUACCUGUAAUUAUAGCUGAUUCUUUGACAAUGCCUUUUCAUGGUAUAAUUGAUUGGACUAGAGCUGUUAUAUUUAUACGAGAAGUAGAUAUUUUAUCAUUAAUAUCAGUUUUAAAAAAAAUAUCUCAAGAACGAAUUAUAGAACUUCAACAACAGGGUGCAUGGCUUUAUGAAAAAUACUUUAAAUCUAUGGAAAAAAUAAUAGAAACCACGUUGGAAUUACUUGCAGAUCGUGUAUUUCCACACUUAAGUAGAGAUUAUACAUUUUGGAAUAUACCAAUUCACAAGGAUAUUACAUCUCCAUUGUUUUUACCUAUUACUGUGCCAAAAACUCGAGGAUUUACUGCUGUAAUUUUAACAUAUGACAGAUUGGAAUUGCUAUUUCUAUUAAUUAAUAAACUUGUUAAAGUACCAAGUUUAUCUAAAGUUCUAGUUAUAUGGAAUAAUCAACAAAAAGAUCCUCCACAUCCAUCUAGAUGGCCAAAGUUGAGUAAACCAUUAAAAGUUAUACAAACAAAAGAAAAUAAACUAUCUAAUAGAUUUUAUCCUUAUGAUGAAAUUGAAACUGAAGCAGUCUUAUCAAUAGAUGAUGAUAUUAUUAUGUUAACCGCUGACGAAGUAGAAUUUGCUUAUGAGAUAUGGAGAGAAUUCCCAGAUCGAAUAGUUGGUUUUCCAUCUAGAAUUCAUAUGUGGGACAAUGGAACAAAUUGUUGGAAAUAUGAAAGUGAAUGGACUAACAGUAUUUCUAUGGUUUUAACUGGAGCUGCAUUCCAUCAUAAAACAUCAAAAAUUUAAUUUUUUAAAUUUUGUUAUUCCUUCCUGAAAAAUAAUAUUUUUAAUAUUUCCAUUAUAAAUUUCCUUAUGAUCCCGGAUAUUCCUGAACAAGUUCCUGAAAAAAUUAGUAUUGGAAUUAUAUGUAUACUACUGCUAUGCCUGGUGAUAUAAAAGAAUGGGUUGAUGAACAUAUGAAUUGUGAAGAUAUCGCUAUGAAUUUUUUAGUAGCAAAUAUUACAGGAAAAGCACCUAUAAAAGUGACACCAAA
Molecule: unclassified non-coding RNA, 2092 nt
Filed under: Apis dorsata (giant honeybee)
Lineage: Eukaryota; Metazoa; Arthropoda; Insecta; Hymenoptera; Apidae
Description: exostosin-2, transcript variant X1
Source: RNAcentral